GGCUUCGUGGCCCAAUGGCAAGGCGUCUGACUACGAUCAGAACUUGAAAACAAGUUCACACGCGCAAUCAGGAGAUUCUGGGUUCGACCCCCAGCGAGGUCA
Molecule: transfer RNA, 102 nt
Filed under: Xylaria bambusicola
Lineage: Eukaryota; Fungi; Ascomycota; Sordariomycetes; Xylariales; Xylariaceae
Description: tRNA-Arg
Rfam family: tRNA
About the family: Transfer RNA (tRNA) molecules are approximately 80 nucleotides in length.
Source: RNAcentral